UACGUGGGCGCAAGCGUUGUCCGGAAUUAUUGGGCGUAAAGAGCUCGUAGGCGGUCUGUUGCGUCCGCUGUGAAAACCCAGGGCUUAACCCUGGGCUUGCAGUGGAUACGGGCAGACUAGAGGCAGGUAGGGGAGAAUGGAAUUCCCGGUGUAGCGGUGAAAUGCGCAGAUAUCAGGAAGAGCACCAAUGGCGAAGGCAGCUCUCUGGGACGGUACUGACGCUGAGACGCGAAAGCGUGGGGAGCGAACAGG
This 252-nucleotide ribosomal RNA is filed under the name uncultured bacterium. RNAcentral describes it as "partial 16S ribosomal RNA". It matches the Rfam family "Bacterial small subunit ribosomal RNA", at positions 524 to 776 of the family's 1533-position model. The record is from RNAcentral.